This is a long non-coding RNA of Vicia villosa (hairy vetch), 5444 nucleotides long. RefSeq lists it as uncharacterized. The transcript is spliced from 4 exons. Lineage: Eukaryota; Viridiplantae; Streptophyta; Magnoliopsida; Fabales; Fabaceae. The record is from RefSeq and is a predicted model, not a curated record.
UAUUUUGUAGAUGCCAUGAUUCAUAACACCAUUGUUUAUUUAUUUUGGAUGCUUGAAUUUGAGCUUACAACUAUGAUGCUAACACAAUAAGAGCAUCAGAUACAAUACACAUUUGACACCAUGAUAUGCUGUUACUUGAAAAAUACAGGAUAUGGUUGAAGUACAUAUAUAAGUAAAUACAAUAAUUCACAAAAUAUGAUGAAAAUAUUAUUGCACUGGCCAAGAAUAGUAACGAAAGUUGAAUAUAGGUGAAGAAAUGUGAUAUAAAUUGCAUCUGUAUAAUUAACAUAUAUAAAUGAGAAAAUGGGGAUUACUAGCUUAAUGAAUGAAGCAGUGACAUAAAUUGCAUUUGUUGCCACUAACGAGCAAGAGUAUCAACACUGAACAUAAAGUAUGCAUGUGAGAUGUGAGUAGUAAUGGAGAAUAUGAGUCAGAAGUGUCAAUGGCAUGUCGGGAGUGUAUCGACAGUGUACCCGGAUUUUUUUAUUUACUUCAAAAAUUUGAUCUGUCAUAUUGCAUCAAAGUAUGCUGACAAGAUAUCGGAGCGUAUUAGAGAGUAUCAUCAAGUACGAUACGAGAAGAAAAAUGAACUAUAGUAUUAAUGCAUAUUGGGGUCCCAAAAAUUAGACACCUUUUUUUUUUUCCAAAAAAUAAUAAUUGAUCUUAUUUGUGACUUCUUUUUAAACUGCGACACUACACUUGUGAUUAAGUUCAAUGGAGUCCUGUCUGGUGUCCGAGCUAGCAAUCUUAAUUUUGUUUUGAUAAUUUUUUUAUUUGAGUGUUUGGUAAGACGCCAAAAUGCCUUAUUGGCGGCAUUCUGAAUCGCACAAGUAUAGGAACCAAUUAGUUAUCUGCUUAACUUUGCAGUAUUGCUUGGGCUAUAACUUAUAAGUUGGUUUAAAGUUUAACGAAACUUGAAUCAGGAACGAGAUUUAUGACUUUUUUGUUUAAGAAAUGAAAUUCACUUUACCGUGGAUUCACCGAGAUGGAAAUGGAGAUAUGGGUGCCUUGUGGGAAAUGUGUUGAGUGUUGUGGGGACGAAAUAACGUUAACCGAUGACUUUUUGUUUAAGAAAUGAAAUUCACUUUACCGUGAAUGUCUCGAGAUGGAAAUGGAGAUAUGGGUGCCUUGUGGGAAACGUGAAAUUCACUUUAUCGUGAAUGUCCCAUGAUGGAAAUGGAGAUAUGGAAGCCUUGUGGGAAACGUGAAAUUCACUUUACCGUGAUUGUCCCGAGAUGGAAAUGGAGAUAUGGAUGCCUUGUGGGAAACGUGAAAUUCACUUUACCGUGAAUGUCCCGAGAUGGAAAUGGAGAUAUGGAUGCCUUGUGGGAAACGUGAAAUUCACUUUAAUGUGUGGUUGUCCCGAGAUAGAAAUGGAGAUAUGGAUGCCUUGUGGGAAACGUGAAAUUCACUUUACCAUGAAUAACCCGAGAUGGAAAUGGAGAUAUGGAUGCCUUGUGGGAAAUGUAUUGAGUGUUGUGGGAACGAAAUAAAGUUAACCGAUGACUUUUUGUUUAAGAAAUGAAAUUCACUUUACCGUGAACGUCUCGAUAUUGAAAUGGAGAUAUUUAUACCUUGUGGGAAAUGUGUUGAGUACUGUGGGGACAAAAUAAAGUUAACCGAUGACUUUUUAUUUAAGAAAUGAAAUUCACUUUACCGUGAAUGUCCCAAGAUGGAAAUGGAAAUAUGGAUGCCUUGUGGGAAAUGUGUUGAGUGCCGUGGGGACGAAAUAAAGUUAACCGAUGACUUUUUGUGUAAGAAAUGAAAUUCUCUUUAUUGUGAAUGUCCCGAGAUGGAAAUGCAGAUAUGGAUGCCUUGUGGGAAAUGUGUUUAGUGCUGUGGGGACAAAAUAAAGUUAAACGAUGACUUUUUGUUUAAGAAAUGAAAUUAACUUUACCGUGAAUGUCCUGAAAUGGAAAUGGAGAUAUGGAAGCCUUGUGGGAAUUGUGUUGAGUGCUGUGGGGACGAAAUAAAGUUAACCGUUGACUUUUUCUUUAAAAAUUGUAAUUCACUUUGGAAAUGGAGAUAUGGAUGCCUUUUGUUGGAAAGGUUUUGAGUGCCGUGGGGACGAAAUAAAGGUGACUAAUGAAAAUUCCUAUAAAAGCGGUGGUAGUUUUUUUGUUUGAGGAUAGGAUUUGGAAAAUAAUUUAUGGUAAACGAAAGUUUGCACCUUGUAUGAUGCAUAAAAUUACAAAUCUAUUGCUGAAAGGUGCAUGAUUCAGAUAUUGGAAUAUGAAAAUUACAAAUCUAUUACUGAAAGUGGCAUGAUUGAAAUAUUGGAAUAAGAAUUCUAUGAAAAAGUACGUCAGAAUGAGAAUCAAAGACCGUUGGAUGGAGACAUGGAUUAUUUUGGUGAAAAUGAAAAGGAAAGAUGUCAUUACAUAGUGGUCUGUGGCCCUAGACAUAGUCAAAUGGUAAAGGAGGAUCUAGUCAGCAAAGAUACUGAUAUUUGCCAAAUUAUUAUUCAAUAAUUUUUUAGUCUUUAUUCAUGUCAAAAUAGUGAUCUCUCCAUUCUGUCGGUAUAUUCCAUAGGUUAUUUCUUAAUACAUCUUUAGGAUGGAUUGCUGAUUACAUUUUAGGAUGCUACCUUAGCGUUCCCUUGGGUAAAUCACACUUAUGUUGGAAAUGGCUUGUGCAACCUUCAAUGGUGUUUAUUUCCCAUAUUGUUGGCCAUCAAGUGUAAUCAGUAUUGUCGACGGCAGAUGGCUGAGCCAAAACCCGGCAUACCGGCCACUUUGCAGGGUCGUUAUAGCGGAUAAUGGCGGAAAAACGUGCAAUAUGACUGAUUUUACCAUUGUGGUGAGCCUGCAAACCGCCAUGUAUAUCCACCAAAGAGGCCAUGGCCCCUCUAUGUGCUAUUUGAUAACACUGGGUGGAGUCUACUAAUUAGAGCUAUAACCAUCCAUGGUUGUCAAUGUUUGUAUCAUAUUACUUUAUAAUAGUAGGUAUCAAACUUGAGUUAACUCAAAAAGUUGCUUUUGUAGUAGACUUGGAUAGACGCGCAUAGAGUCCCCAGUAUGAGUACCAAUUGUACAAUACAAUGUUAGUAGCAGUGUUUUUUAAAAACCCUAAGAUAAGAGCAACAGUUGAAUGAUAUGUGACUGCAGUAGUAACCUAGUUAUAGCACGACUCCACAGAUGCAUUUAGAAUCUCAAUGUGAACUUAUCUAUUAACAAGGGGAACGUUGUGUCGAGUCUCAACGUUGCAGCUUUUGCAAGUCUGCAAUGAAUCAAUGCGCCAACAAGGUGAGUGAUUCUAACUCUGAUGAGCUGAUUCCAGCUUUGACGAGGAGACCCAGUCCCACGCAGUGUUAUCAAACAACGGCGUGAUGGCCGCUAUGGCAGACGAAAGGCUACGAUGGUGCGAAUAGGGGAGAGGAGGACGAAAGGCUAUUAUGCCGGCGAUGUCGGAUUCGUAAGGAACGUGUGGUGGUUUAUGCAAUUUGAAGAUAUAUAUUGUAGAUAUGGGCAUUUGAUGUUACAACCGAUAUUCUGAAGCUUACAAUCCAACCGUCGAGGAUCGUUAUGAUAUGCGAUACGAUCAACUUAGAAGCAUUGCUGGUCGUAUACAUAUUGUGGUUGGAGGGAGGUUCAAGGGGAAAGGCUGCAGUCCGCGUUUAGUAUUCUACUAGACAUAUUGUGAAGGAUAUUGAGCAUGUGCAGUAACUGUUCAUUUAUUUCGUCGCAGACGGAGUUAAGUCGGUCUAUCGAACGAGCUGCCAAGAUGAGGUACACAUGGAAAUAAAUAAUCAGAUUUCAAGGCAUCAGAAGCAGUGAAAAUAUUUUAUUUGGGUAGGGAGCUUGAAGAUCCCAUAUCACUUGUUGCACAAAAUGUUCAGCCAAACUCCUUGUUACAUCUUGUCCGUACAAAGAUACAUUUAUGGCCUAGGGCACAAAGAGUUCCUGGUGAGGACAAGUCGUUGCGUCCUCCGGGAGCAUUCAAGAAAAAAUCUGAUCUGUCUGUAAAAGAUGGACAUGUGUUUCUUAUGGAGUGAGUGACUUAAAACUUUUGGUCUGCUACUUUGUAUGUGUGCUCUUUGUUGGACCACAAUUAUUUUCUAUUUUGCAUACUUCAACGUGAAAAUUCUAUUUUGAAGGUUGGGAACGACCAUUUAUGUUACUAUUGUCAAAGAUACAAUGCCAUAGUUUGUUCUCUUCUGAUUAACAAGCACCUUCUCCAUAAAGCCUUCACAAGUAGUUAGCAAUGCUUUUUUUCCCCUUUCUAUGUGUCUGAUGCUUAACCUUCUCCAUAAAGAAAAAACUUAAAAAAUAGAUGUUCCAGCCAUUUAUAACACUUAUCAAAUGCUACUUUAGCGUUCCCUUCGAUAAAUCACACUUAUGUUGGAAAUGGCUUGUGCAACCUUGAAUAGUGUUUAUUUCCCCACAUUGUUGGCCAUCAAGUGGAAUCAAUGUUGUUGAUGGCAGAUGGCGGUCCAUGGCGGAGCCAAAAUCUCGGCAUACCGGCCACUUUGCGGCGCUGUUAUAUCAGAUUAUGGCAGAAAAGCCUGCAAUAUCUGGCCGAUGUUUACCAUUGCGGUGAGACUACAAAAUGCCAUGUAUAUCCACCAUAGCAGCCAUGGCGCCGCUAUUUGCUAUUUAAUAACACUGGGUGGAAUCUACUGCUUAGAGCUAUAGUGAUCCAUGGUUGUCAAUUUCUGUAUCAUAUUACUUUGCAAUAGUAGGUAUCAAAGUUGAGUUAACUCAAAAAAUUGCUUUUGUAAUAGACUUGGAUAGACGAGCAUAGUCUUCAGUAUGAGUACAAUUUGUACAAUACAAUGGCAGUGGCAGUGUUUUUUUUUUAAAGACUCUAAGAUAAGAACAACAGUUGAAUGAUAUGUGGUUGAGGUAUAGCCUAGUUAUAGCACUUGACUCCGUAGAUGCAUUUAGCAUCUCAAUGUGAACUCAUCUAUAAACAAGGGAACUUUGUUGUGUCGAGUCUCAACCUUGCAGCUUUUGCAAUUCUGCAAUGAAUCAAUGCGCCAGCAAGGUGAGUGAUCCUAACUCUGAUGAGCUGAUUCGAGCUUUGACGAGGAGACCCAGUCCCACCCAGUGUUAUCAAACAGCGGCGUGAUGGCCGCUAUGGCAGAUAUACAUGGCUGUUUUCGGGUUCUCCACAAUGGUAUAUAACAUCCGAUAUUGUGGGUUUUUCCGUCAUAAUCCGAUAUAACGGCGCUGCAAAGCGGCCGGUACGACGGGAUUUUGCCUCUCUGCCAUCGGCAAUACGUCCCACCAUCAUUCACUCUUCUAGAAUUUUCUUUCCCAUGUUUUAGUCCAGCCUGGAACUUUAAGUCAUUUUUGUUACACUUUCACAUUUCUGCCAUAAUAAAUCAUUUCAGUAUUCCUUGUUUUGAUGCCAAUUAUCUCGAUGGAUGAUAAAUUCAAAUGUGAUGUUAAAUGUCAUGGGGAUUGGGAAGGCAUUGUGGUAAUAUUCAGGACUGUCUGAUG